AUCAUGGCUCAGAUUGAACGCUGGCGGCAUGCCUUACACAUGCAAAGGUCGAACGGCAGCACGGGGAGCUUGCUCCUGGUGGCGAGUGGCGAACGGGUGAGUAAUACAUCGGAACGUACCCUGAAGUGGGGGAUAACGUAGCGAAAGUUACGCUAAUACCGCAUAUUCUGUGAGCAGGAAAGAGGGGGAUCGCAAGACCUCUUGCUUUAGGAGCGGCCGAUGUCGGAUUAGCUAGUUGGUGAGGUAAAGGCUCACCAAGGCGACGAUCCGUAGCGGGUCUGAGAGGAUGAUCCGCCACACUGGGACUGAGACACGGCCCAGACUCCUACGGGAGGCAGCAGUGGGGAAUUUUGGACAAUGGGCGCAAGCCUGAUCCAGCCAUGCCGCGUGAGUGAAGAAGGCCUUCGGGUUGUAAAGCUCUUUCGGUGGGGAAGAAAUUGCUUCGGUUAAUACCUGGAGUAGAUGACGGUACCCGCAUAAGAAGCACCGGCUAACUACGUG
Molecule: ribosomal RNA, 501 nt
Filed under: uncultured bacterium
Lineage: Bacteria
Description: bacterial SSU rRNA
Rfam family: Bacterial small subunit ribosomal RNA
Source: RNAcentral